GGGUGAGUAACACGUGAGUAACCUGCCCUAGGCUUUGGGAUAACCCCGGGAAACCGGGGCUAAUACCGGAUAUGACUGGCUGCCGCAUGGUGGUUGGUGGAAAGAUUUUUCGGCUUGGGAUGGACUCGCGGCCUAUCAGCUUGUUGGUGGGGUAAUGGCCUACCAAGGCGGCGACGGGUAGCCGGCCUGAGAGGGCGACCGGCCACACUGGGACUGAGACACGGCCCAGACUCCUACGGGAGGCAGCAGUGGGGAAUCUUGCACAAUGGGCGGAAGCCUGAUGCAGCGACGCCGCGUGAGGGAUGACGGCCUUCGGGUUGUAAACCUCUUUCAGCAGGGACGAAGCGUUUGUGACGGUACCUGCAGAAGAAGCGCCGGCCAACUACGUGCCAGCAGCCGCGGUAAGACGUAGGGCGCGAGCGUUGUCCGGAUUUAUUGGGCGUAAAGAGCUCGUAGGCGGCUUGUCGCGUCGACUGUGAAAACCCGUGGCUCAACUGCGGGCUUGCAGUCGAUACGGGCAGGCUAGAGUUCGGUAGGGGAGACUGG
This 546-nucleotide ribosomal RNA is filed under the name Salinispora pacifica. RNAcentral's name for it is "bacterial SSU rRNA". It matches the Rfam family "Bacterial small subunit ribosomal RNA", at positions 104 to 664 of the family's 1533-position model. Lineage: Bacteria; Bacillati; Actinomycetota; Actinomycetes; Micromonosporales; Micromonosporaceae. The record is from RNAcentral.